Molecule: ribosomal RNA, 465 nt
Filed under: uncultured bacterium
Lineage: Bacteria
Description: bacterial SSU rRNA
Rfam family: Bacterial small subunit ribosomal RNA
Source: RNAcentral
GGACCCGCACAAGCGGUGGAGCAUGUGGUUUAAUUCGACGCAACGCGAAGAACCUUACCUAGGCUAGAAUGUGAGGGAAGAAAGGGUAAUACCGAUCGUCCGGGAAACCGGACCCAAAACAAGGUGCUGCAUGGCUGUCGUCAGCUCGUGUCGUGAGAUGUUGGGUUAAGUCCCGCAACGAGCGCAACCCUUAUCGAUAGUUGCCAUCAUUAAGUUGGGAACUCUAUCGAGACUGCCGUUGAUAAAACGGAGGAAGGUGGGGAUGAUGUCAAGUCAUCAUGGCCUUUAUGCUUAGGGCUACACACGUGCUACAAUGGCCGGUACAAAACGUCGCGAACCCGUAAGGGGAAGCUAAUCGCAAAAACCGGUCUCAGUUCGGAUUGGAGUCUGCAACUCGACUCCAUGAAGUUGGAAUCGCUAGUAAUCGCAAAUCAGCAUGUUGCGGUGAAUACGUUCCCGGGUCUU